Lynx canadensis (Canada lynx) is the source of this 955-nucleotide long non-coding RNA. RefSeq lists it as uncharacterized. Lineage: Eukaryota; Metazoa; Chordata; Mammalia; Carnivora; Felidae. The transcript is spliced from 3 exons. The record is from RefSeq and is a predicted model, not a curated record.
ACAGUAGGCUUUGAUGGCAAGACAUCCCGAUGAGUUCAUAAUAUAAUCGGAUGGACACACACUGAAUUUGCUCACUACUUCCUCCAAGCAUAGAGAACGUCUAUCUCAGAAAGCUGGCUUUAGCUGUUUCUAUCCAGUUUCGCAGCCACUGGGAGGGCCAGGGAGAGGGGGAUGCACAGGGAGCUUGAGCAAGCGAUGAAGGAAGUUGUGGCGGCCAAGACUGGCCUCUGUGGCAUCAGCAGUCACCUGGAAUGUAAACUUGACAACACUCUAGACAUGAACCAAAGAGGGACACGGGCAGACAGAGAAGGACGCAGAAAGGUUACUGCCUGUGCUCCCUUUCUGGAACAAACAAAUAACAUUUGAGUUGCUUUGACAUGUUGGAGAAACUCCAGCAAAGCAGAAGAAUUCAAGAGAGAGGAAAACCGAGGGUGUGAGAAGCUGAAACUGACUAAGAACUUCAGGUACAGAAAUUUCGAGUAACAGCUGGGUCACAAGACAACCAACAUUGAAAUCCUCCAAGAGCUGAUUAGAAACUUGCAAAAAAUAAAAAGACGCACUGUUCAAGAAAGCCACUAUCUGAAAUAAAGCAGGCUGUUAACUCCAAAAUGAACUUGAGACCUGACAAAGCGGAAGGAGCAGCGUUUUUCAUGCGGACAAGGCCAGGCCGCCUUUGGUCAGAGAAACCGUAAGAAAUCUCGGAUGAAAUAUUUGCCUGAGGUUCUACAGCUCUUUCAGCCCAUCAACAGCGGCACUUGUGCUAACUCCUGACUCUCACUACAAGGAAUUGACUCAUCAGAGGAUGAUUCUGCUCCUGGAGCAAGGAGACUUGAGAAUGGGACUGUGAAACAAGGAUAGCAGACCAGUCAUGGUGGAAGUGUAUGGAAGCCACUGACCAAACUGCCACAAUUUUGUCGCUAAAAAGGGAAAAGGAAUUGGAGUGCCUGGGUGGCUC